UAAUACAUGCAAGUCGAACGCUUUGUGCUUAAUUGAUAUGACGAGCUUGCUCUGAUUUGAUUUUUUGAUUUCAAAGAGUGGCGAACGGGUGAGUAACACGUGGGUAACCUACCUCUUAGCAGGGGAUAACAUUUGGAAACAAGUGCUAAUACCGUAUAAUACCAACAACCGCAUGGUUGUUGGUUGAAAGAUGGUUCUGCUAUCACUAAGAGAUGGACCCGCGGUGCAUUAGCUAGUUGGUAAGGUAAUGGCUUACCAAGGCAAUGAUGCAUAGCCGAGUUGAGAGACUGAUCGGCCACAAUGGGACUGAGACACGGCCCAUACUCCUACGGGAGGCAGCAGUAGGGAAUCUUCCACAAUGGGCGCAAGCCUGAUGGAGCAACGCCGCGUGUGUGAUGAAGGGUUUCGGCUCGUAAAACACUGUUAUAAGAGAAGAACGGCACUGAGAGUAACUGUUCAGUGUGUGACGGUAUCUUACCAGAAAGGAACGGCUAAAUACGUGCCAGCAGCCGCGGUAAUACGUAUGUUCCAAGCGUUAUCCGGAUUUAUUGGGCGUAAAGCGAGCGCAGACGGUUAUUUAAGUCUGAAGUGAAAGCCCUCAGCUCAACUGAGGAAUUGCUUUGGAAACUGGAUGACUUGAGUGCAGUAGAGGAAAGUGGAACUCCAUGUGUAGCGGUGAAAUGCGUAGAUAUAUGGAAGAACACCAGUGGCGAAGGCGGCUUUCUGGACUGUAACUGACGUUGAGGCUCGAAAGUGUGGGUAGCAAACAGGAUUAGAUACCCUGGUAGUCCACACCGUAAACGAUGAGUGCUAGAUGUUCGAGGGUUUCCGCCCUUGAGUGUCGCAGCUAACGCA
RNAcentral lists this ribosomal RNA (855 nucleotides) under Weissella hellenica. RNAcentral describes it as "bacterial SSU rRNA". It matches the Rfam family "Bacterial small subunit ribosomal RNA", at positions 49 to 859 of the family's 1533-position model. The record is from RNAcentral. Lineage: Bacteria; Bacillati; Bacillota; Bacilli; Lactobacillales; Lactobacillaceae.